This 808-nucleotide ribosomal RNA is filed under the name uncultured bacterium. Its description in RNAcentral is "bacterial SSU rRNA". It matches the Rfam family "Bacterial small subunit ribosomal RNA", at positions 1 to 802 of the family's 1533-position model. The record is from RNAcentral.
UAGAGUUUGAUCCUGGCUCAGGAUGAACGCUAGCUACGGGCUUAACACAUGCAAGUCGAGGGGAAACGGCAUUGAGUGCUUGCACUCUUUGGACGUCGACCGGCGCACGGGUGAGUAACGCGUAUCCAACCUUCCCAUUACUGUGGGAUAACCUGCCGAAAGGCCGACUAAUACCGCAUAGUCUUCGAUGACGGCAUCAGAUUUGAAGUAAAGAUUUAUCGGUAAUGGAUGGGGAUGCGUCUGAUUAGCUUGUUGGCGGGGUAACGGCCCACCAAGGCGACGAUCAGUAGGGGUUCUGAGAGGAAGGUCCCCCACAUUGGAACUGAGACACGGUCCAAACUCCUACGGGAGGCAGCAGUGAGGAAUAUUGGUCAAUGGACGGAAGUCUGAACCAGCCAAGUAGCGUGCAGGAUGACGGCCCUAUGGGUUGUAAACUGCUUUUGUAUGGGGAUAAAGUCAAUCACGUGUGAUUGUUUGCAGGUACCAUACGAAUAAGGACCGGCUAAUUCCGUGCCAGCAGCCGCGGUAAUACGGAAGGUCCAGGCGUUAUCCGGAUUUAUUGGGUUUAAAGGGAGCGUAGGCUGGAUAUUAAGUGUGUUGUGAAAUGUAGACGCUCAACGUCUGACUUGCAGCGCAUACUGGUUUCCUUGAGUACGCACAACGUUGGCGGAAUUCGUCGUGUAGCGGUGAAAUGCUUAGAUAUGACGAAGAACUCCGAUUGCGAAGGCAGCCGACGGGAGCGCAACUGACGCUUAAGCUCGAAGGUGCGGGUAUCAAACAGGAUUAGAUACCCUGGUAGUCCGCACAG